UUUUGUUGCCAUAGCUACUUCCAUUACAAGUGGCCUUGACAAAGUCAGGAGGUAUUUGUUUUGAAGCAAAACUACAUGCAGCCUCAGCUGCAGAGUGUUAAAAACCUACAAGCAUAAGAAGAGCCGUGCUGGAUCAGAUCAAAGGUCUUUCCAGCCCAGGAUUCGAUUCCCACGGUGCCCGGCCAGAUGCCCCAUCCCUGCCAGUGAACCACAAGCAGGUCAUCGGCACGAUGGCGCCCUCCCGCUCCCACUCCUCAGCGAAUGGUUCGCAGAGACAUCCUGCCUUGAGUCUGGAGAUUUUCUGAAGAAGGAAAAGGAUGGAAGAAGUGGUGGGAAAACACAGAAAGUUAUGAGCGGAAGAAGGCAGCAUCUGAGCAUCCCUCACCUGUAAAUUUCCCUGAAUGAGGCAGGGUAAUGGCACCAGAAAAGCAUCAUCUAGAACAGGGCAGUCCAACUUUUCGUACCUUGAGAGUUACCUGAGGAUUUUGAUAUGGAAUCCCAGGGGCCGGACAAUGAAUUACAUUUCCAUAUCAUAAAUUAAAGUGUUUGCAAUAUAUGUAUUUAUUUUAAUAUACACAAUGAAUGUGUUAACCGUUAAACAAGAAUGAAAUAAUUUUAAGAUGAUUUUAGGAUUAAUUGUAUUAAAAAUGCUUUCUGGGCCUGUGAUCUCUGCAGAGGCCGCAGGCAUCUCCUUCUCCGACCACAGCCCAAGCACAAUGGAGUGGCCCAUCCCUUUCUUCCCUGUGUCUCCCGCCCAGAAACACCCCCAUGUGACCCCUUGGCCCCUCCUUCCUUCCUGGCAUUGGCAGGCCGAGCCUCUUGUACUUGAGCCAGGAAACUCCCCCUAGCGUGCCCCGCCUGCUCCUGCUGAUGAGGGCCAAGGCGCUCAGCACCUGUGUGCUAGUCAGCUGGAGCGGAGGCCACCAGCCCAACCCACUGUCUUCCUGAACAUCGGCCUGCUGCAGUCAUGCCCAUGCCAUUGCUGGGAUCUGGACUGGGGGGAAUGGGGCACUCCAAGCAGCAAGAGGGCCGCAUGCUGGACGACCCAAAUCUAGAGGCAUUCUGAAGGCUGAUUCAACCACAUGUUACAUCCCUUGGUUAAGAAAUGCUGACUUUGCUACUACCAUGCAUGACUUGGUGACCUCCAGUUUAGAUUACUGCAAGGCACUUGAAGUGGGGCUGCCCUUGAUGUGUACUCAGAGACCAUAGUUGGUCCAGGAUGUGUGGACAAGGUUAUUGACUUUAUCUCCUUCAUGCAGCCACCCUGACCAACUUCAGGGCCUUCCAAGUGUCCAUGUACAACUCAAUGUUCUGGUCUUGACCCUACAAAGUCCCAAACGGUUGUAUUUAAAAUGUCCAAGUUUCUAAAGGAAUGCAUGCUCAUGUAUGACCACAUGUGGCCAUCAUGCAUGAAAGCAACUAUGUGAAGCUGUGCUGUGUGUUCCACCUUCUUCGGAGGCUAUUCUGAUAAACACCAGAGACAGGGACUUUUCAGUGCUGGCCCCGAGACUGAUAGCUCUUCCCUCCAGGAACAUCCAUCUUGCACCCUCUUCUUCAGAAAACAGGUUAAAAUAUUUUGCUUGUGAGGAAGAUGGUGGCUAACAAUGUUUACAUUACCCUGAUUUUUUAAAUCUUUGAAUCUUUGAAGUUGAUAAUAUUUUUGUAGUUUUAAGUAUUGUGAUAUGGAUUAUCAGCAAGCUUGGAUGAUCUUUUUUAAGGCAGAUUUUAAUUAUCAGCACCUUUUAUCAAAUUACAUCCUUACAUGGACAGAGAUAGCUGAGGUACAGCUAUCCAAGGUCUGGUAACUUCUCACCUUGAUUAUAGCCAAAUGAAGUGAGGUGGGCGGCUUCUCAGAAGUGGGCCUCUUCAGGUGUGGAAUGAGCUCCCUAGACAAUGUGCUCUUUUUUGGCAUCAGGUGAAUACCUUAAUUUCCCAGGCAUAUUGAUCAUUCACAUUUCUGUUGUUUUACAUCACAAUUUUAUUUUAAAUCGUUGCGCUGCUGGGUUUUUGUUUUUUAUUAUUUCAUAUUGUAGCUUAAAAUUUAUAUUUUAUCAUGUAGUAGUUUAUGGUUUUAAUUACUGCGAGCUGCCCAAAAAAUUUGGCUGGCUAUAAGGCAGUAUGGAACUGUAAUAAAUAUUAUUGAUAA
Varanus komodoensis (Komodo dragon) is the source of this 2146-nucleotide long non-coding RNA. RefSeq lists it as uncharacterized. Lineage: Eukaryota; Metazoa; Chordata; Lepidosauria; Squamata; Varanidae. The record is from RefSeq and is a predicted model, not a curated record. The transcript is spliced from 2 exons.